GCAUAACCCCGGGAAACUGGGGAUAAUUCCGGAUAACGCACAUAUGCUGGAAUGCUUUAUGCGUAAAAUGGAUUCGUCUGCCCAAGGAUGGGUCUGCGGCCUAUCAGGUAGUAGUGGGUGUAAUGUACCUACUAGCCAACAACGGGUACGGGUUGUGAGAGCAAGAGCCCGGAGAUGGAUUCUGAGACAUGAAUCCAGGCCCUACGGGGCGCAGCAGGCGCGAAAACUUUACAAUGCGGGAAACCGUGAUAAGGGGACACCGAGUGCCAGCAUCAUAUGCUGGCUGUCCAGGUGUGUAAAAUACACCUGUCAGCAAGGGCCGGGCAAGACCGGUGCCAGCCGCCGCGGUAACACCGGCGGCCCGAGUGGUGAUCGUGAUUAUUGGGUCUAAAGGGUCCGUAGCCGGUUUGGUCAGUCCUCCGGGAAAUCUGACGGCUCAACCGUUAGGCUUUCGGGGGAUACUGCCAGGCUUGGAACCGGGAGAGGUAAGAGGUACUACAGGGGUAGGAGUGAAAUCUUGUAAUCCCUGUGAGACCACCUGUGGCGAAGGCGUCUUACCAGAACGGGUUCGACGGUGAGGGACGAAAGCUGGGGGCACGAACCGGAUUAGAUACCCGGGUAGUCCCAGCCGUAAACGAUGCUCGCUAGGUGUCAGGCAUGGCGCGACCGUGUCUGGUGCCGCAGGGAAGCCGUGAAGCGAGCCA
Molecule: ribosomal RNA, 704 nt
Filed under: uncultured Methanosarcinaceae archaeon
Lineage: Archaea; Methanobacteriati; Methanobacteriota; Methanomicrobia; Methanosarcinales; Methanosarcinaceae
Description: SSU rRNA
Rfam family: Archaeal small subunit ribosomal RNA
Source: RNAcentral